Molecule: ribosomal RNA, 253 nt
Filed under: uncultured bacterium
Lineage: Bacteria
Description: partial 16S ribosomal RNA
Rfam family: Bacterial small subunit ribosomal RNA
Source: RNAcentral
UACGUAGGGGGCUAGCGUUGUCCGGAAUCAUUGGGCGUAAAGCGCGCGUAGGCGGCCAGAUAAGUCCGGUGUGAAAGUCACAGGCUCAACCUGUGAAUGCCGCUGGAAACUGUCUGGCUAGAGUCCGGAAGAGGAGAGUGGAAUUCCUGGUGUAGCGGUGAAAUGCGCAGAUAUCAGGAGGAACACCCGUGGCGAAAGCGGCUCUCUGGGACGGUACUGACGCUGAGACGCGAAAGCGUGGGGAGCAAACAGG